Molecule: regulatory RNA element, 126 nt
Organism: Lachnospiraceae bacterium 3_1_57FAA_CT1
Lineage: Bacteria; Bacillati; Bacillota; Clostridia; Lachnospirales; Lachnospiraceae
Rfam family: azaaromatic riboswitch aptamer (yjdF RNA)
Source: Rfam
AGCUGCAAAGAUAAAAACACAGAGCAUGUCUGAGACAUGCGGAGCCGGUUGGUAGUCCGGCCGGAAGCAGCAAGCCUGCUUCUAAGUAGCCCUCCUCCUUGGUCGUCCGUUCUUUGUUCAUAAAAU